Non-coding RNA from Oryzias latipes (Japanese medaka), 2960 nucleotides. The record is from RefSeq and is a predicted model, not a curated record. Lineage: Eukaryota; Metazoa; Chordata; Actinopteri; Beloniformes; Adrianichthyidae.
GUUUUUAUGUUGCACAGCUCCUCCGACGGGAGCCUCUGCCGCAACGGUGAGAUCAACGUGCAUGGUUGCAGGGUCUAAUACAUUUGGGGUAAAAUAAUUUUGUAAUUAUUUCGGUUUUCUUGUGAAUACAUGUCCCUAAUUUGUUUGUAUGUCCUAAUAACCGCGAUUAAGUUCAGUUUUGUUCGAAGAAGUAUUAUUGACAUUUUUAAUUUGUUUAAGUUCGUUUUUCUGUUUGUUUUGAUCUUGUGCACUGCUGUUUGAAUGAGAAGCGAAUGAGUGGUGGUUUUGUUUGUUUGAAUCAUAAUCAAUAGUAUUUGAAAAUUGUUAUCAGAAUGGGGAAAAGGACGAGGUAAAGGAAAGGGAAACAUGGUUUUUGAGGAUUUGGAAGGAUGUUGCAAUGUAGAGACAAGAAAUGUAAGGUGACAAGCAGGAGAAAUUAAAAGGCAUUGUAAGUAAAAUGGAGGGUCUGUGGGCAUGGAAAAGUGUGGUAUGAAAGUGCAGGGUAUGGUAGAACAGGAGAAGAGGGAACAUGAAUGUUAAAACGCUAGUUAUGAACGAUUCAUUUCAGUGAAAUGGUUUAAUUUUGUUUGUGUAAGGUACCUAAUUUGUUGUGUUAUGUCUUUUGCAGAAACGGUUAAAAGUUCUUGUCUUUGUAUUGAUUGUCUGUGUUUUAGAUUGUGAAUUGUGUUUUUGGUUAAAUAAGGAAAAGCUUAAAUUGUGGGAUUUUGUUGCUUUUAGUACUUCUUCAAAUUCUUUUUGUAGGGCAAAAACAGUCCUUAAGGGUAAGUCAAAACAAUUUGUCUUUAUUUUUUUGAUUAAGAGUGAAUGAUUAGCGGCCAGAAUGCAUGUAAUACAAUAUAUUUUCCAAAGAUUUUACUCCAGGUCCAUCAUUUCGGACAAAGAAAAUUUUAGGGAUUUUUCCCUUUGCUGGCUUUCAUUACUGAUCAACUGACGGUGUUGGAGACGGUGAAGACUGAACAUGACUAAUCCAUUCUAAAUCUCUUUCCAAGCAGAAGAGCAGCCCCCCCGAGAUCUCAUAAAACUUUAGGCAGAAAACCCCCCUCUGCUACGUGGGUGAGUGACAAAGGCGCAUAAGUUUACCAUCCUCCGCAGCUCUCUACCUUCACAGGAGGGAGCCGAGUCAGCAGUGACUGACCCCCAGAGCACAUUUGAAGAAACAGGACAGGAGAGAGGGGGAGGUUGAGCAACUGAAGAAAAACAAUUCUUUACCCUGCUGAAAUGAUUCACACAGGAUAAAAGGUGUUUUAAAAAAGAAAAGGAAACUAACAUGAAUUUUGACUUUUGAUGCCCUCAGAGACAGCAGUAAUGACGUGUCAUGCUCAGCCAUUCGGAGGCCAAAACAGGAGGACGGGUGGAAAAAUCCUGGGAGAAGCAGGCCACCCAGGGGAACCCAGCAGCAGUUGGAAAUGGCAUCUAUGGCGCUCUGAACCCUGACAGCCCACAACGAGGUGCCCAACAGCAGAAUGUACAGACCAAGAGGCAGAGGGUCUGGAGGAAAAAUGAACAGUACCCAUGACCACUCCAAGCCCUCCUCCACCGUGGCGAGGACCACAGGGCAAGUCGGACAACACCACUUGAUGCAGGAGCCAUUGUCUUUUUCAAGCUCAAAGAUGGUGGAACAUUCAUGCGUGCAUUCACCAAACACGCCUGUGAAUCUGUUGGGAUGGGACAGUCUUGUCAAAACAGGAGACAGCAGACUGGAUGCCAUGCCGGACACCACAGCCGACCCCCACUGCAGACAUGUAAAGGGCCCUGAAACGCCAGGUGGUUUCGUUAAUUUCAGGUUUGAAGCCUGGACUCCUGUGUUUGAAGCCUCCGAAUGGUCUGACCUGUACACUCCAUUAUGACAGAGAGCAUGAUUAACAGUAAGAAGUAUUUCAGCAGGUAGAAGACCACACGUGGCAUUUGAACUACACUGACAUAUAUUAACCCUGAGGGCGAGCGGCUUAUUGUGCAUUCAUACACUCACAAAUGCAAUGAUACUAGCUGUCAGACACAGCUGUAUCUCACAUAGGAUUAGACUAAGCAGGACAUUAACAACACAUUGGUUAAAUUGUGUUUUUUCAGGUGUUCACUCUCCUCCCUCAAUAAAAAUGUACAGGUUAAUUUUGCCGUUCAACAACCGAGCAGAGAGGAGACGGCUCAUGAAGAUGCAGAGGUGAUGUUAAAACGCUCUCUGAUGCUUCAUGGUCCACAGGUUCAGUUGAUGUUGGUUCAUUCUUCAUCGUCCCCCCGGUGGUGAUUCAGGUAACUGCAGGAGCACAGGUUUUUAGAUCUCAGUGCAGCUGAGUGACUGAUGCAGAUGAAGGGAGGAAGGAAACUCAGUCUGGGCUGUAGAACUAUAGUGUCAUUGAAUAUUCGUAUUCUUCAUGGUGUACUUCUUUGAAACCGGUUUUAAAAGUAGAUGGAUUGCAUAUGAUUUAAGCUAAUGUUAAUUUGAGUUGAUGACGUCACCAUUAUUAUAAAACCUAUCCGUCCCUGAUCCAUAUUGCAUGCUGUCACCUUUAACCUCACAAGGUGUGUUGUUUGUUGCUAUUGACUUAGCACACGUUUUCUUUUAAUGGAAUCAUUACAUAAAAAUAGCAGACCAUUGUUCGCAUUAUAGUACAGAGGGGUUCAUAAAAUCCUUCUUGCAUUUUUGAUCACUGUUUAAAGUCUCUCUGACAGAACAUUAUGCUAUAAGAGGUUUGUGUUUUGCUAAUACAGGUUGAUGACAUCUGCCUGCAAUUAAUGAAAGAUCUUCUGUUGCAGUUGUAUUAUUUCUUCUUGUGACCUUGCCUUUUACAGGAACGUGGACAGGACGCCUCUUCACCUUAUCGGUGCACCAAACUGUUUAUUGUUUUUAUGUUCUUGCUUUACAUUUAAUUCGUUUUAUGUGUUUGUCCUGGAGCUUAGCCCCAGGCCAAGAGAGGGAGGUAGACAAAAGAGGUCUUAAUGAU